RNAcentral lists this non-coding RNA (172 nucleotides) under human gut metagenome. RNAcentral's name for it is "Lysine riboswitch". It matches the Rfam family "Lysine riboswitch aptamer". From Rfam's summary of the family: Riboswitches are metabolite binding domains within certain messenger RNAs that serve as precision sensors for their corresponding targets. Allosteric rearrangement of mRNA structure is mediated by ligand binding, and this results in modulation of gene expression. The record is from RNAcentral.
CGAUAGAGGCGCGGCGACCAUAAGUAGCGCCAGGCACGCAAAGAUGCAGCACCCGGAAAGGUGCGCCUGGGCAAAAGGGGAAGCCGCCGAAGGGCUCGUAUGUUUCCGCAUAUGCACCCUGGUGCGUGGGAGAACAUCCUCCGCACUGUCGCCGAAAGGCGGAGCGCUAUCU